AAAAUGACUCUCGGCAACGGAUAUCUCGGCUCUUGCAUCGAUGAAGAACGUAGCGAAAUGCGAUACUUGGUGUGAAUUGCAGAAUCCCGUGAACCAUCGAGUCUUUGAACGCAAGUUGCGCCCGAAGCCAUUAGGUUGAGGGCACGCCUGCCUGGGUGUCACA
Molecule: ribosomal RNA, 163 nt
Filed under: Pickeringia montana var. montana
Lineage: Eukaryota; Viridiplantae; Streptophyta; Magnoliopsida; Fabales; Fabaceae
Also listed under: 1 other name
Description: 5.8S ribosomal RNA
Rfam family: 5.8S ribosomal RNA
About the family: 5.8S ribosomal RNA (5.8S rRNA) is a component of the large subunit of the eukaryotic ribosome. It is transcribed by RNA polymerase I as part of the 45S precursor that also contains 18S and 28S rRNA.
Source: RNAcentral